This 27-nucleotide non-coding RNA is filed under the name Cricetulus griseus (Chinese hamster). Lineage: Eukaryota; Metazoa; Chordata; Mammalia; Rodentia; Cricetidae. The record is from RNAcentral.
ACAGGCCUGAGUGAGGGUAGGAUAGGG